This 402-nucleotide ribosomal RNA is filed under the name uncultured bacterium. RNAcentral describes it as "bacterial SSU rRNA". It matches the Rfam family "Bacterial small subunit ribosomal RNA", at positions 315 to 708 of the family's 1533-position model. The record is from RNAcentral.
GGGACUGAGACACGGCCCAGACUCCUACGGGAGGCAGCAGUGGGGAAUUUUGGACAAUGGGGGAAACCCUGAUCCAGCCAUGCCGCGUGCGGGAAGAAGGCCUUCGGGUUGUAAACCGCUUUUGUCAGGGAAGAAAAGGCGCAGUCUAAUACAUUGCGGCCAUGACGGUACCUGAAGAAUAAGCACCGGCUAACUACGUGCCAGCAGCCGCGGUAAUACGUAGGGUGCGAGCGUUAAUCGGAAUUACUGGGCGUAAAGCGUGCGUAGGCGGUUAUGCAAGACAGAUGUGAAAUCCCCGAGCUCAACUUGGGAACGGCAUUUGUGACUGCAUGGCUUGAGUGCGGCAGAGGGGGGAUGGAAUUCCGCGUGUAGCAGUGAAAUGCGUAGAUAUGCGGAGGAACA